This is a long non-coding RNA of Orcinus orca (killer whale), 7383 nucleotides long. RefSeq lists it as uncharacterized. The record is from RefSeq and is a predicted model, not a curated record. Lineage: Eukaryota; Metazoa; Chordata; Mammalia; Artiodactyla; Delphinidae. The transcript is spliced from 6 exons.
UCUAAACUAUUUAAAUUAAUUAGCUCUUUCGGUUUAGGAAGUGGCGACACAGUAGCUGAUAAUACAGUCUCUCCUUCUGUCAGAGGCUUAUGUUUUUCUGACUUUACAUUCAAAUCAACACUAUCAUGAGAAGAAUCUAAACAUAUUUUUUAUCAGAUUCCACAAACUAUAUGUAACAACAGGAGUAUGAGUAGGCCCUCGAGACUUGUAAUAAUUUUUUAAUCUUCUCCAACUUUCUGCCAGAUUUCUAUGUCAACAGAGCCGCCAUCAGGAAACCAGGGAGAUACACCAUGGAUAUGCUGUAAAAAUUCAGUCAACUGUGAGGUCCCUGUUCGAGUGCCACUUGCCGCGGACCAGCCGGAGAAAGAGGAUCUCACCGCCCAGGGUCAGAAGGGAAGGGGACAUUUCAUCUUGACAAUCUGCACAUCUGGGAGACUAUCAAGAAAUGCUUUGAGGUCGAUGCCAUUCAGCACAAUCCGAUUGUCAUAAAUGUGCCCAUUGGACUUAAAAUCGAUGACUGCCUUCUUCUUCAGCUGCAUGCAGUGUCUCUCAGCUGCCUCAAAAUCUCCUGCCUGAUACUCUCGAUGUGCCAACUCAGCUAACCCUUGGAAGGAAAGCAUACGUUUCGUUGGUUCUGUGCUGUCGGCCACGUUGCCCACAGAAGACGCCAUCUGGAGCUUCUGGAGAGAGUGAGAAAAGGGGAGCAAAAUUCACUUAAGUACUGUACUGGUGGAAAUUGGGCAGCACUAUGGAGACAAUAAAAAGGUGUUUACCAUCAAAAAACGUCAAGGUAAGAAAGAUAAUGUCUAAUUUUUAAUUAUCCUGUGGUUUAUUGAAAUCUUUUGGAAACCCAAAAUAGAGAAAACCUAGGAGGCAAUGAAGACUUAAAUCUUUAGAGAUUUAUCAACUCAUCUAUAAAAGCUUUAUUAAUCUCUUCUUUUAAUACCAUUCCUGAGAGGUAUAAAUGUGUCCAGUGAUAGGGUUGAAGAAGCCUGAGAGAAUUUCAAUUGUUUACUAUUCUUGGUCAGCUAUUAAGACCUUUCAGGAGCAUCUUGAUUUUCAUGGCAUCAUCCAACAAAAAGCAGGAUAUUUUACAGAAAGUCCUGGUCCACUUUUUGGCUUGCUUUUGUGUUUAUGUUUUUGGUUUUCUCACACUGGGCGGUACAUUAGGCUACCUAUUGCACACUCCCUCAUUCAUGCAUGCAUUCAUUCAAACAAUAUUUACUGAGUUGAGAUAUUUAAUUAACACCCAAUAAAUGAUGUUUAGAUGAAUGAAUGCGCUUUUUAUCAAAGUAAGUGUAAGUACUGAGAAAAAUUACAGAAUGUAUGAUCCCAGCCCCACAAAAGCGUAUAAUUGUGUUGAGGAUAUAACAUAUGCUGGUGAAAUAACUAAUAUAUCAUAUUGGACAGUUUCUAAGUUCAAAAAUGAGUUUUUGUAAAUAAUCAGAGCCUAAGGAGGACAAAGAAGGGACAGUUCAUUAUGGGUUGAAUCUAUCAAUAAAUGUACAUUUCAGAUGAGAUUUGAGAUUGACCUUAAAGAAAGAAGAGGACUUAGAUAUAUGAACAGAGAACAAAAAAGGCAUGGUGAUAGCAUGUGCAUAGAUAGUGUGGCCAAUAUUUAUGUUCUUCAUUAAAGACAGUCAGAGAUAACCCAAAUGUAACUGUUUCCAUGGGUCCAUUCUCAGUACCCAAACAAAACGGCAAAUCCUAUCUUAGUAAAACUAAUGAAAAACACAGUCUUUAACGAAGACAUUGUGAAGGAAAGGGGGAGAGAAAGGCUUGCGUCCCACACCACACAACAAAACUUAUUUAAUUAUUUGUUUCAUUUUCUCCCUCUGAAAAUUUCCUCUCCCUCUCUCUGUACAUCUCUCUUCUCCCACAUCUGGCCACACUCUACCAGCCACCUUUCCAGAUCUUUCCAGAACUCUCCAUCCUAGUUUCAUUAUGCCACAAGUUGAACAUCUCACAGGUCUCCAGGAUGCAUCCUCAUCACUUAUUCCACAAAGACAAACAAAGGACACUUCUCAGGAUCAAGUUUCUUGGAAGGAAGAGGUCAUGAGGAGUGAUUAUAAAUAACGUAAGGUGGAGAGCAGUGACUUAAAAUACCAUUUUUCCUCUUAGAAUGUGAAUACAGGGAACUUUGGGAAACUAGAAAAUCUAGAAAGGAUUCAUUGAUAAUUGUUUAUUUUCAAUGAAUAAAAUAAAAUGUAAUAAUACGGCUAAACUCUGACAGAUUAACUUUUUCAAAAGUUGCUUUCACACACCUUCACUAUUGGGAUGUUUGAUAAACACAUCUUUCUUCUUUAUUUGCAGAUACUGGCACCAAACUUUCAAACAAUAAGAACCUUCCCAUAAGUCCCUUGCCAGGCAAGAUUAAGGUAUAACAAUCCAAACAGAUUUUUGAAGAAGAUAACUGGUUGAAAGCACAGGAAAAGAGCUGGGUUGCUCUUUUUCAACGGUCACAUGAUGAGUAAUGUGGGAAUUGGUUUACAAAGUCUCUCUCCAUGAGGGGCUAAGGUUAAGAUUAGAACUUCUGAGGCCAGAAGAGCAAAAUAACUACAACAACACACAUAUUUUCAAGAGCCGCCCUUUGGAUGUGAGGGAUUGAUUUUUCCCACGCUUUUUUCAGCAACCCAACUGGUGUCUUUAUUAAAUGACAUAAGGGAAUACAGUGUGGCCAAGAAGGCUUAGAUUUCCUUAGCCGCAAGUCAGAUAUUCUCAAGUGACUGUCCACUCAAAUUAAAAAGAGAGAUUUACAAGAGGAAACUGGAUACAACUGAGUGUACUUUUAUUUCAACCCUUUAUCUGAAUGCUUUGUUUUGAUUUCAGUUCUCCACUGAAGUUGCCUACAUUAAUAUAUUUUUAAGAACAUUUCCUUAAGUUGAAGUAUUCAUUCAGUAUAUUCAUUUACUAUAAUUGAGAAAAGCCAAAUGACUUAGGCAAAUUCAUUUCUAUAUUGCCACAGCAGUGUAUUGUGAACUAAAUGACACCUGGCAGUUCUUUACUCAGAUACUAACUCAAUUAGAAGGCAGAACAAGGAUACCUACCCAUUGAGGGAAGGAAAGGUCACUUAGCCUCUGUAGCUGUCUUAGGUCUCUUAUCAUCACAGUAACAAACUGAAGACUAAAAACCAUACGAUCAUCUCAAUAGAUGCAGAAAAAGCUUUUGAAAAAAUUCAAUAUCCAUUCAUGGUAAAAACUCUCCAGAAAGUGGGCAUACAGGGAACAUACCUCAACAUAAUAAAGGCCAUAUAUGACAAGCCCAUAGCUAUCAUACUCAAUGGUGAAAAGCUGAAAGCAUUUCCCCUAAGAUCAGGAAUAAGACAAGGAUGCCCACUCUCACCACUUUUAUUGAACAGAGUUUUGGAAGUCCUAGCCACAGCAAUCAGACAAGAAAAAAUAAAUAAAUAAAAGGACUCCAAAAUGGAAAGGCAAAAGUAAAACUGUCACUGUUUGCAGAUGGCAUGAUACAUAGAAAAUCUGAAAGACACCAUCAAAAAACUAUUCGAGCUCAAACAUGAACUUGGUAAAUUUGAAGGAUACAAUAGAUUUCUAUAUAUAAAUUUUGUAUUUCUAUACACUCACAGUGAACUAUCAGAAAGAGAAAUUAAGGAAACAAUCCCAUUUACAAUCGCAUAAAAAAGAAUAAAAUACAUAAGAAUAAACCUGCCUAAGGAGGUAAAAGACCUGUACCCAGGAAACUAUAUGACACUCAUAAAAGAAAGGAAAGAUGACACAAACAGCUGGAAAGAUAUACCAUGGUCACGGAGUGGAAGAAUUAAUAUUGUUAAAAUGACCAUCAUACCCAAGGACAUCUACGCAUUCAAUGCAGUCUGUAUCAACAUAUCAAGGGCAUUUUCCACAGACCUAGAACAAAUAAUUUUAAAGUUUGUAUGGAAACACAAAAGAUCCUGAAUAGCUAAAACAGUCUUGAGAAAGAAGAACACAACUGGAGGAAUCAUGCUCCCUGGCUUCAGACUGUGCUACAAACCUACAGUAAUCAAAACAGUAUGGUACCGGCACAAAAACAUCCAUCACUGGAACAGAAUAGGGAGCCCAGAAAGAAACCCAUGCACUUAUGGUCAAUGAAUCUAUGACAAAGGAGGCAAGAAUAUGCAAUGGAGAAAAGUCUGGGCUUCCUUAGGGAUGGUUUCAUCAAUUAAUUUGUUUUCUUAAAUGGACCAUACUUUUCCAUGUCUUUGUAUACCUUGUGAGUUUUUUGGUUGAACAUUUGGCUUUCAAAUAUUAUAAUGUGGUGUCUAUGGAAAUCAGAUUCUCCCACUUUCCCAGGGUUUUCUGGGCUUUGGAUUGUUGAAGGCUGUAGUAGUCUGUUUGUUUAGGGGCCUUUCCAAACUAGUUUUGCAAUGAGUGUACUCCUUAUCGUAUGUAGGCACUGAAGUCUCUGUUCCUUUAGUUCAUGUUUAGCUAAUGUUUUGACAGAGAUGUCCUUGAAUUCCCACACCUAAGACAAACAAAAACAAAUAUACACAAGCACAUCCACAUGCACACUCAAAACCACACACCUCUCCCCAUUGUGCAGAUUGCUGGAUCACUCCUUCAACAUUUAGCUGACCUGCACUGAGGUCAGGGCUCAGCCCAUGGUAAAAGCUUAGAGACUCCUCUGGUGUUUUCAGAACAUGCAUCUUAUCUUGAGUAUGCAUGUGGCUUUCUUAAUUUCUCUGGACACAUACUUUUUGUAUGUUCUAAGUUCCCAAAGAAUCUCCCCCAACUUUUGCUCCUGCAUCUUAUGUGGUCUAUUGUAUUUCAAUGCACAGUCUUCUGCCCCAGCCAUCUCUGCUUUGUUAGUUCACCUUGCACUUUUUUUGAGCAAUGACCGCUGCUUUUCCAGACUGUGUUCCAGGUUAGCUAAGACAGAGAUAAGCAUCUUGUGUCAGUCCUUCAGGUAGCUCCCAGACAGGUUAGAACAGAUACACAUAAUAAUCCGAGAGUAUGGUCUCUUCUGCUCUCUCCUGAAGCAGGAUUGAGGGCCCCAUACUAGGAAUGGUCUGCUGCUACUUUAAGACUAUCACUGCAUUAAGACCCCACCACUUUAAGACCAUCACUACACUAAGAGUAGAUGGGGCAAGGGCAAGUAAAAAUGCCACAAAGCUUUCCUGCCAUUUUCAAAUUGCCUCUUCCCUGGUUCAGUAUGUGUUUGCUUGCUGUAAAUCUUUGCCUGAUUUCAGGACUAAGAGAAACUCAAGGAACGCCACAACAAGAAACAGUAUAAUCAAACUCUCAGAUGCCAAAAGACAGAGAAAGAAUCUUUACUCCCAAAGGAGAAAGAAAAAACAAAUUUGUUACAAAGCAGGGAUCCUCAAAAAGGUUCAUAGCUAAUUUCCUAUCUGAAACCACGGAAGCAAGAGGCCAGACAUAUUUAAAGUGCUGAGAGAAAAAAACUGUCCACCAAGAAUUCUAUAUUUGGCCAAACUGGUUUCAAAACUUAGGGAGAAAUUAACACAUUCCCAGAUGAACAAAGGCUGAGGGCGUUUGUUUUACAACUUCCUAACACUGCCCUAGGACAAAUGCUAAAUUGAACCUUCAGGUUGAAAUGAAAGGACACUAGACAGCAACUCGAAGCUGUAUAAAGAAAUAGAAAUCUCCAGUAAAGAUAAAUACAUGGGCAGAUACUAAAGCCAGUAUUGUGCUACUGGCUUGUAACUCUACUUUUUAUUUCUUACAUGAUUGAAAAAACAAAUGCAUAAAAUAAUCAUAAAUCCAUGUUAUUGGGCUCACAAAGUAUAAAGGUGUAAUUUGUGACAACAAUAAUGUAAGGAGGAGGAAUGGAACUGUAGAGGAACAGAGUUUCUGUGUGCUAUUGAAGUUGGUUUCAAUUCAAAUGAUAUUGGUUGAACUUUAGAAGGGUAAAUUAUAUGCUGUCCGCAAAAAACUCACUUGAUUUCAAGAGACACAAGUUGGUUGAAAGUUAAAGCACAGAAUAAAAUAUCCCAUGCAAAUAGUAACAAAAAGAAAGAAAGAGAGAGAGAGAAAAAGGAAGGAAGGAAGGAAGGAAGGAAGGAAGGAAGAUAGAUCUGGGAUGGCUACGUUAAUAUCACACAAAAUAAACUUUAAAUCAAAAACUAUCACAAGAGGAAAAGGAGGCCACUAUAUGUUGAUAACAAGUUCAAUCUAUCAAGGAGAUAUAACAACUAUAAACGUAUAUGUACCAAACAUCCCCCAAAUAUGUGAAGCAGACAUUGACAGAAUUGAAGGAAGAAAUAGAUAGUUCUAAAAUAAUAGUUGGAGAUCAAUACCUUGCUUUCAAUAAUGGAUAACACAUCUAGACAGAUCAGUAGAGAGGUAGGGGGACUGAAUAACACAUUUAACCAACUAAACCUAACAGCCAUAUAUAGAUCACUCCACUCAACAACAGCAGAAUACACAUUUUUCUCAAGUACACAUGGAACAUUCUCCAGGAAAGACCAUAUGUUACGCCACAAUACAAGUACCAAUACAUUUUUAAGAAACUGAAAUCAUACAAAGUAUCUUCUUUAGCCACAGUGAAAGGAAGGUAGAAAUCAAUAACAGAACCAUUGGUAGCCAUUUCCCAUCAUGCCUGCCACACAUGAUAUAAAGCAAUGAAGGGGAAAACAUAAUUGACCAUUUAGAAAAGUGGGAAAGAGGACAUACCAUUGACACAGAGUGUGUGCUGUUUCCCGUUCUCAGGGAUAGAAAUAAAUUAGCAUCAUUUAUUCAUUAGUGUGUUAAUUUCUUGGUCAAUCAUUGCGCAGCCAGUGUUUCUGCCUGAUGGGAAGAUUUCCUAUACUCAGUGUUGAGUGGAGACAACCUUGAAAGGGACAUUUAAAAGGAUUAUACUGUGAUGGGCUUAGCAGUACCCUUCCUCCUAUGCCAGUAUUUAGGCUGGGGUAUUUCCAUGCAGUGUGUACAAUCGUAGGCCCCAGGUCACCAGAAUUUAGUUGGAUUCGUUUUGUUAAUACAUUCCCUCAGUACUUUGUCUUUUAUUUCACUGUUGCAUUUACUUCAUUCUUUAUUAUCACUGCGAAACAACUUUGUUUCCUGUUCAGAUGCCAAAAAGUGGAUAUCAAUACCUCCUGAGUUUUACACAUCACAGAUCUGUUUUACAUAUCAGAGGCAGAGACAGCAACUAUUUCCAAUGACUUUGAGACAUGCUUUGAACAUGUGAUUAACAUGUGGAGUGUUGAAAUGUGUGUCGAGCUCAUUACACUUGCUCUAAAAGGUUUCAAACUGCAAAGAUUUAAAAAUCUUUAUCUUUGAAUAGUUUUCCUGUGCUGUCCCUUUGUGUCAGACUGUUAAUGUGCAGUCUGGCACCUUUAAAUAAUGUGGCUUUGUAACCAAUUAUUUACAUGUUGUUUUAUCCACAGAGAAUCUUUUUUUUAAAAAAAUAAAUUUAUUUAUUUUUGGC